GACGAACGCUGGCGGCGUGCUUAACACAUGCAAGUCGAACGGAAAGGCCCUGCUUUUGUGGGGUGCUCGAGUGGCGAACGGGUGAGUAACACGUGAGUAACCUGCCCUUGACUUUGGGAUAACUUCAGGAAACUGGGGCUAAUACCGGAUAGGAGCUCCUGCUGCAUGGUGGGGGUUGGAAAGUUUCGGCGGUUGGGGAUGGACUCGCGGCUUAUCAGCUUGUUGGUGGGGUAGUGGCUUACCAGGGCUUUGAAGGGUAGCCCGCCUGAGAGGGUGACCGGGCACAGUGGGCCUGAGAUACGGACCAGACUCCUACGGGAGGCAGCAGGGGGGAAUAUUGCACAAUGGGCGGAAGCCUGAUGCAGCAACGCCGCGUGCGGGAUGACGGCCUUCGGGUUGUAAACCGCUUUCGCCUGUGACGAAGCGUGAGUGACGGUAAUGGGUAAAGAAGCACCGGCUAACUACGUG
Molecule: ribosomal RNA, 468 nt
Filed under: uncultured bacterium
Lineage: Bacteria
Description: partial 16S ribosomal RNA
Rfam family: Bacterial small subunit ribosomal RNA
Source: RNAcentral